This 497-nucleotide ribosomal RNA is filed under the name uncultured bacterium. RNAcentral describes it as "partial 16S ribosomal RNA". It matches the Rfam family "Bacterial small subunit ribosomal RNA", at positions 28 to 507 of the family's 1533-position model. The record is from RNAcentral.
GAUGAACGCUGGCGGCGUGCCUAAUACAUGCAAGUCGAGCGAACAGACGAGGAGCUUGCUCCUUCGACGUUAGCGGCGGACGGGUGAGUAACACGUAGGUAACCUACCUAUAAGACUGGGAUAACUUCGGGAAACCGGAGCUAAUACCGGAUAAUAUUUCGAACCGCAUGGUUCGAUAGUGAAAGAUGGCUUUGCUAUCACUUAUAGAUGGACCUGCGCCGUAUUAGCUAGUUGGUAAGGUAACGGCUUACCAAGGCAACGAUACGUAGCCGACCUGAGAGGGUGGUCGGCCACACUGGAACUGAGACACGGUCCAGACUCCUACGGGAGGAAGCAGUAGGGAAUCUUCCGCAAUGGGGGAAAGCCUGACGGAGCAACGCCGCGUGAGUGAUGAAGGUCUUCGGAUCGUAAAACUCUGUUAUUAGGGAAGAACAAACGUGUAAGUAACUGUGCACGUCUUGACGGUACCUAAUCAGAAAGCCACGGCUAACUACGUG